Molecule: ribosomal RNA, 496 nt
Filed under: uncultured bacterium
Lineage: Bacteria
Description: bacterial SSU rRNA
Rfam family: Bacterial small subunit ribosomal RNA
Source: RNAcentral
GACGAACGCUGGCGGCGUGCCUAAUACAUGCAAGUCGAGCGGAGUUAGAGGAGCUUGCUUCUCUAACUUAGCGGCGGACGGGUGAGUAACACGUGGGCAAUCUGCCCGUAAGACUGGGAUAACUCCGGGAAACCGGGGCUAAUACCGGAUAAUCCUGACUCUCUCCUGAGAGUCAGUUGAAAGAUGGUUUCGGCUAUCACUUACGGAUGAGCCCGCGGCGCAUUAGCUAGUUGGUAGGGUAAUGGCCUACCAAGGCGACGAUGCGUAGCCGACCUGAGAGGGUGAUCGGCCACACUGGGACUGAGACACGGCCCAGACUCCUACGGGAGGCAGCAGUAGGGAAUCUUCCACAAUGGACGAAAGUCUGAUGGAGCAACGCCGCGUGAGUGAAGAAGGUUUUCGGAUCGUAAAACUCUGUUGUAAGGGAAGAACACGUACGAGAGUAACUGCUCGUACCUUGACGGUACCUUAUUAGAAAGCCACGGCUAACUACGUG